Molecule: ribosomal RNA, 427 nt
Filed under: uncultured bacterium
Lineage: Bacteria
Description: bacterial SSU rRNA
Rfam family: Bacterial small subunit ribosomal RNA
Source: RNAcentral
GACGAACGCUGGCGGCACGCCUAACACAUGCAAGUCGAACGGAGAAAAUAGCUUCGGUUGUUUUCUUAGUGGCGGACGGGUGAGUAACACGUGAGGAACCUGCCUUUGAGAGUGGGAUAGCUUCUGGAAACGGAUGGUAAUACCGCAUAACAUAGCGAAACCGCAUGAUUUUGCUAUCAAAGUAUUUCGCUCAGAGAUGGCCUCGCGUCUGAUUAGAUAGUUGGUGAGGUAACGGCUCACCAAGUCGACGAUCAGUAGCCGGACUGAGAGGUUGAACGGCCACAUUGGGACUGAGACACGGCCCAGACUCCUACGGGAGGCAGCAGUGGGGGAUAUUGCACAAUGGGGGAAACCCUGAUGCAGCGAUGCCGCGUGGAGGAAGAAGGUUUUCGGAUUGUAAACUCCUGUCGUAAGGGAAGAGAAAGGA